GGCUCACCUAGGCGACGAUCCCUAGCUGGUCUGAGAGGAUGACCAGCCACACUGGAACUGAGACACGGUCCAGACUCCUACGGGAGGCAGCAGUGGGGAAUAUUGCACAAUGGGCGCAAGCCUGAUGCAGCCAUGCCGCGUGUGUGAAGAAGGCCUUCGGGUUGUAAAGCACUUUCAGCGGGGAGGAAGGCGAUAAGGUUAAUAACCUUGUCGAUUGACGUUACCCGCAGAAGAAGCACCGGCUAACUCCGUGCCAGCAGCCGCGGUAAUACGGAGGGUGCAAGCGUUAAUCGGAAUUACUGGGCGUAAAGCGCACGCAGGCGGUCUGUCAAGUCGGAUGUGAAAUCCCCGGGCUCAACCUGGGAACUGCAUUCGAAACUGGCAGGCUAGAGUCUUGUAGAGGGGGGUAGAAUUCCAGGUGUAGCGGUGAAAUGCGUAGAGAUCUGGAGGAAUACCGGUGGCGAAGGCGGCCCCCUGGACAAAGACUGACGCUCAGGUGCGAAAGCGUGGGGAGCAAACAGGAUUAGAUACCCUGGUAGUCCACGCCGUAAACGAUGUCGAUUUGGAGGUUGUGCCCUUGAGGCGUGGCUUCCGGAGCUAACGCGUUAAAUCGACCGCCUGGGGAGUACGGCCGCAAGGUUAAAACUCAAAUGAAUUGACGGGGGCCCGCACAAGCGGUGGAGCAUGUGGUUUAAUUCGAUGCAACGCGAAGAACCUUACCUGGUCUUGACAUCCACAGAACUUUCCAGAGAUGGAUUGGUGCCUUCGGGAACUGUGAGACAGGUGCUGCAUGGCUGUCGUCAGCUCGUGUUGUGAAAUGUUGGGUUAAGUCCCGCAACGAGCGCAACCCUUAUCCUUUGUUGCCAGCGGUUCGGCCGGGAACUCAAAGGAGACUGCCAGUGAUAAACUGGAGGAAGGUGGGGAUGACGUCAAGUCAUCAUGGCCCUUACGACCAGGGCUACACACGUGCUACAAUGGCAUAUACAAAGAGAAGCGACCUCGCGAGAGCAAGCGGACCUCAUAAAGUAUGUCGUAGUCCGGAUUGGAGUCUGCAACUCGACUCCAUGAAGUCGGAAUCGCUAGUAAUCGUAGAUCAGAAUGCUACGGUGAAUACGUUCCCGGGCCUUGUACACACCGCCCGUCACACCAUGGGAGUGGGUUGCAAAAGAAGUAGGUAGCUUAACCUUCGGGAGGGCGCUUACCACUUUGUGAUUCAUGACUGGGGUGAAGUCGUAACAAGGUAACCGUAGGGGAACCUGCGGUUGGAUCACCUCCUUACCUUAAAGAA
This 1288-nucleotide ribosomal RNA is filed under the name Klebsiella pneumoniae. Its description in RNAcentral is "bacterial SSU rRNA". It matches the Rfam family "Bacterial small subunit ribosomal RNA", at positions 262 to 1533 of the family's 1533-position model. The record is from RNAcentral. Lineage: Bacteria; Pseudomonadati; Pseudomonadota; Gammaproteobacteria; Enterobacterales; Enterobacteriaceae.